GCAGCCGCGGUAAUACGGAAGGUUCGGGCGUUAUCCGGAUUUAUUGGGUUUAAAGGGAGCGUAGGCCGUUGUUUAAGCGUGUUGUGAAAUGUCCCGGCUCAACCGUGGCACUGCAGCGCGAACUGGACGACUUGAGUGCGCGGAACGUAUGCGGAAUUUGUGGUGUAGCGGUGAAAUGCUUAGAUAUCACGAAGAACUCCGAUUGCGAAGGCAGCAUACGGCAGCGCUACUGACGCUGAAGCUCGAAAGCGCGGGUAUCGAACAGGAUUAGAUACCCC
This 278-nucleotide ribosomal RNA is filed under the name uncultured bacterium. RNAcentral's name for it is "partial 16S ribosomal RNA". It matches the Rfam family "Bacterial small subunit ribosomal RNA", at positions 511 to 788 of the family's 1533-position model. The record is from RNAcentral.